This 74-nucleotide transfer RNA is filed under the name Anaerolineales bacterium. RNAcentral describes it as "tRNA-Pro". It matches the Rfam family "tRNA". Rfam says of the family: Transfer RNA (tRNA) molecules are approximately 80 nucleotides in length. Their secondary structure includes four short double-helical elements and three loops (D, anti-codon, and T loops). Further hydrogen bonds mediate the characteristic L-shaped molecular structure. tRNAs have two regions of fundamental functional importance: the anti-codon, which is responsible for specific mRNA codon recognition, and the 3' end, to which the tRNAs corresponding amino acid is attached (by aminoacyl-tRNA synthetases). tRNAs cope with the degeneracy of the genetic code in two manners: having more than one tRNA (with a specific anti-codon) for a particular amino acid; and 'wobble' base-pairing, i.e. permitting non-standard base-pairing at the 3rd anti-codon position. The record is from RNAcentral. Lineage: Bacteria; Bacillati; Chloroflexota; Anaerolineae; Anaerolineales.
CGGGGUGUGGCGCAGCCUGGCAGCGCGCUUCGUUCGGGUCGAAGAGGUCAUGGGUUCAAAUCCCGUCACCCCGA